RNAcentral lists this ribosomal RNA (326 nucleotides) under uncultured bacterium. RNAcentral describes it as "bacterial SSU rRNA". It matches the Rfam family "Bacterial small subunit ribosomal RNA", at positions 8 to 334 of the family's 1533-position model. The record is from RNAcentral.
AGAGUUUGAUUAUGGCUCAGGACGAACGCUGGCGGCGUGCCUAACACAUGCAAGUCGAACGGAGAUAGAGAUUUCGAUUUUUAUCUUAGUGGCGCACGGGUGAGUAACACGUGAAUAACCUGACCCAAAGAGGGGGAUAACACCUGGAAACAGGUGCUAAUACCGCAUAAGACCACAAUGCCGCAUGGCGAAGGGGUCAAAGAAAAUCGCUUUGGGAGGGGUUCGCGUCCCAUUAGGUAGUAGGCGGGGUAAUAGCCCACCUAGCCGACGAUGGGUAGCCGAGCUGAGAGGCUGAUCGGCCACACUGGAACUGAGACACGGUCCAG